Suricata suricatta (meerkat) is the source of this 597-nucleotide long non-coding RNA. RefSeq lists it as uncharacterized. Lineage: Eukaryota; Metazoa; Chordata; Mammalia; Carnivora; Herpestidae. The transcript has 3 exons. The record is from RefSeq and is a predicted model, not a curated record.
GUCAUCUGGAAGCAGAUGAUCCUCCUUGUGAUGAAUCAGCGGAAGGUCAAAAAGAGCCUAACUCUACAUGGUCACAAUGCCUGCGUCACUUACCACACGUCAUCUUGUCUGUCGGCAUUUUAUCAUCUCACAUCAUCAGGAGAAGGAUGAACACAGUACAAUAAGUUAUUUUGAGAGAGGGAGAGAGAGAGAGAGAGAGAGACCACGCUCAAAUCACUUUUACUAAGGAGCUGGGGCUACAAGGUAAUACGCGGCGUAAAAGAGUCCACUUCUCCUUAACGGCUGGAAUUAUUCCUUUAUCAAAUCAGUUCUGCAACAUAAUUUUGUAUGCUAGUCUGGAAGCUUAACUCAAGCCUAGCUCUUCAGACCUUUCAACAUUUCAGUAUAUAAGGGAAGGGGAACAAUUGCUGCCUCAUCAGCUUCGAUAUCACCACAGUGAUGAAUCCAAGACAUUUCUUCUUUUCUUCAGUGAUGAAUGACAUGGCAGCUGUGGUGUCAAAGUCUUCCAAUCUUCUCCCAAAUGCUUAACUGGAACUCACCAAUAGAGAACCUCAACAGCCCUGUUGACUUCAAUCACAUUCUCAACUAUGUGGACCU